Molecule: long non-coding RNA, 937 nt
Organism: Trifolium pratense (red clover)
Lineage: Eukaryota; Viridiplantae; Streptophyta; Magnoliopsida; Fabales; Fabaceae
Exons: 2
Source: RefSeq, a predicted model, not a curated record
GGUAUUGAAUUAAAAUUUACUAUUUUCCACUAAGAUUGUUCAAUUUUAGUUGUAUUUUUGGUUUUGAGUAACUUUUGUUUUAAUUCUUAUUUGUUAAUUGUUAUAAAGAAAGAACGAAAAGAUUUUAAAGUCGAUCAACACAAUUUAAACCCCCUUCGUACUGUGUUGUGUUUCUUCAUGCACCUUCAAUUAUAUCUAAGGGUUUUAGGAUGUCAAACAAUAUUAUUUUUAAUUUGUGAUUUUCCGUUUUCUAUCAUAAAAGCUUUUAAACUAAAGAAAAUUUGUUAAAAAAUAUGAAUUAUUUUAAUUUGUAUAUUUUACACGACCUCUUUACAAAAGGUGUUAAAGGGGCAACACAUUGUUGUACUUAAUUAAGAGACAUCUAAUAAUUGUAAACAAAAAAUGGAAGUCUUUUCACACCUCUUGAAGUACUAUAAAAACUAUUUAAUUGUUGUAAGGAGAACAAUGACUUUAUAAAUCAAGACGUGAUAAACUACAAUUCUAUGUAAUACACAUACAAAAGGUAGAGAAAAUAUGAAUAAAAUUUUCAAGUUUGUUAAUGUUAUGAUAAUCAUUCUUUCUCUAUUAUUUGUUUCAACACAAAGUCAGGUUUAUGUUCCCGUUCCAUGUGUUACUGAUCGUGAUUGUGUAACUUCCACCCCCUCCUUGAAUAGCAAAUCUCCUAGAAGAAUGAAGUGUCGUAAUGGUUAUUGUGUAUAGGCUAAUUAUAAAGCUCGAAAGAUUAUAUGAUUGUCAAACCCAAAAGAAUACACAAAUGCACAACGUGAAUAAUUUUUCAUGAGUUCUUAUUUAGUUAUUGUGAUCACUCAUUGAGUGAAUUUUCUUUUAGCUUUUCUAAUUUCACGUAUCUUGAUAGUUUUGUACUUUAAGAUGAUGCAAGUGAAAUGAAAUAAAACAUGAAAAAUAUUAUCGACAA